UGUCACAGCACGACCGCCCUGCCCGCCGUGCGCUUCCUCUCCGCGCUUCAGGCCUCAGAGGGACCCUGAGCGGACGUGGCAGGGGCGGCACGCGACAGCCUUUGGGGAGUUGGGAUCCGGGGAGACCCGCGUCGUUUCCCGUCCGCUCGGAGCGGCGAGACCCUCGGGAGGCGCCUCCGCGUGGCCAGAGCGCAUCGGGUCGCCUGCGGCUUCCCCGGCUUCCAACUCGAGGGAUCUCCCGACCAUUCUGCCGCCAGGACUUCCACCGGGCGCGAGGCGAGCUCUAAACAAACAUCACAUCUAAAUUAAAAAAAAAAAAAAAAAGCGGAAGAAGCGCCGAGG
This is a long non-coding RNA of Molossus molossus (Pallas's mastiff bat), 342 nucleotides long. RefSeq lists it as uncharacterized. The record is from RefSeq and is a predicted model, not a curated record. NCBI's taxonomy places the organism in Eukaryota, Metazoa, Chordata, Mammalia, Chiroptera, Molossidae. The transcript has 2 exons.